CUAAAAAUAACAUUGUCAGGUUGCAUUAAGAGCAAAGCUGCUUUCUCCAUUAUAGUAUAGAUAGAAUAUCAUUAAACCAUCCCAGGCAUAGACUGACAUCAAUGCUUUAAAGGCAUCAUUGCAUAUUAGGCAAUGCUAAACACACCAUAUAAAGAUUUAAACAAUCUUCUCCCUCUCAAGGGUUGAAAGAAUGAAGUAUCACGAAUGAGAAAGGAUAUUACAAAUAUCGGUUGAGAUUUACAAUGAAAUCUGAUGAACUUGUUAUACAAAUAUUUAUGAUGAAAUCUCAAGAGGAGGACCAUUGCUUAAGGCCAGUCAAAGAAUCUACAGGCUCAGGAUUACCCAAACUAAAAUGGACACAACAUGGAUGAAGAGUAAGGAGAGGAAACAAAAAUAUCUUUAUAAACUUUAAAGUGGCCAUAUGAAACCAUUUCAUCAAAUUACCAGAAACCACAGAAAUAAAACAAACACAAAAUGCAAGUCAUUUGACCGCGACCAUACUGGAGCACCACCUUUAGUCGAACAAUUCACCCCCAGGACUUAUUUUUUGUAAGCCUAGUACUUAUUCUAUUGGUUUCUUUUGCCAAACCGCUAAGUUGUGGGGACAUAAACACACCAGCAUCGGUUGUCAAGCAAUGGUAGGGGCAACAGAUGCAGAUGCACACACAAACAUACACACACACACACGCACGCAUACACACACACACAUACAUAUAUAUGCAUGUGUGUAUGUGUGUGUGUGUGUGUGUGAGUGUGUGUGUGUGUGUACAUGUAUAAAUACGACAGGCUUCCUUCACUUUCUGUCUACCAAAUCCACUCACAAGGCUUUGAUUGGCCUGAGGCUAUAGUAGAAGACACUUGCCCAAGGUGCCAUGCAGUGGGACUGAACCUGGAUUUGUGUGGUUGGUAAGCAAGCUACUAACCACACACACAUAUAUAUAUGAUCUUUUCUCAAAAGCUUGACAAAAACAAAGGAGUAAUCAAUGAAUACAUGCUUAUAAUUUUUAAUUAGCUGGAUGCAAACUGAAAUGACUCAUAUAACAGAGAAUCAAAUAUUGAAUAUCUGCUUGACUCACAUUUCCUCAAGCAUACAGUCUUGUUGACACUUAGGUACAUUGAUCAGUGUUUUAUACACUUACAUGAUUCUGUCGAAUAAGGCACUUGAAUUGUAUCGCUAAAAUCAUAUUUUUAAUCCUAACAAUGCUUGUGUCAGCCUUUCAGAUCUUUGUUUACUUUCAUUGUGAAAAUUCUGUUUAUUGAUUCUGUAUUUCUACUCCCUUAACCUGAAAGUGGUGAACCUUGCUCAGUUCAAUCAGGCCAUUUAAGUAACAUAACUAGCUUCCCCCUCUCACUCUCUGGGAGAGAGGCACAAGCACAUACACAGACAUAUACACACACGGCAGUAACUUCCACCUACCAAAUUCAAUCACAAAGCUUCGCAAUGACAUAAAUUAUAUAGAGUUUUUCUUUUUCAUAAUUAUCAAAUGUUAAUAACAAAUACAGUUACAUUUUUAAAGUAAAUGGAAACUUAAAUUCCUAAUAUAAUAUAGAAUAAAAAAAGCAAAUAUGUGAUAGGUUUGAACUCAAAUGGUGUGGUACUGUGAGAAUAAGAUAUUUAAAUUUACAUUACUAAGAUAACAUUUAUUAUCCCAACAUGCAUAUGUCAUCUUUUCGGAUGUUUCAUCACAUUCAUGUCAGGGAGCUAAGUGUGAGAUUGAAUUGUUCAAAAUUUCUUGAUUGAUGAAAGUUAAUAAACAUAUGAGAGGAUGACACAUACCUGCUAAGAUGAAAAUAUGGACUCAUUGACAUGUAUUAAAGUUACUUAAUUCAGCAGUGGUAUUGUAAAGUGAAUAUAUAUAUAGAAUAGUGGUACAUGUGUCCAGUUUGGAGAUGUGGGAUUACAUAGCACUGGAUAUUCCCUAUUUGAUUAUAUGACAUGCAAAACAUUUCAAUUUGCAUCUACACUUAAGUUUUAAAAUAUAUGUUCAGCGUUGCUCUUCAAUAGUUUGAUAGAAUAUGUCCAUCUGACACACCUAAAGGAUUAUUAUUUUAACCAAACAUAUCUGUGCAGUCAUAACCUAGCUUGCCUGUUAGAUAGAUAGUGUAUAUGUGGAGAUAUCUGAAAUAAGAGACCUAAAUUUUUCAAGCAACAGCAAUCGUUGUGCACACUCAUCAAGUUGAAAAAGCUUCAAAAUGCAAUUUCUGAUUGAAUGCCAUUUGGAACAUAGGAAAAAGUCAGUAAUGACAACUCAGAAAACUGAAACAAGAUAAUGGAGGUUGAUUUGUCUUAUAUUCUCUGAUUGAUGAUACCGAAACCUUCUCUCUGUAAAAUAUAUAAUUUGGCCCACAGGAAAGAAAGCUAGUCAUAUUUAAAAGUGUUUCCCAAACUACCUGUGAUGAAACUUAACCUUUUUGACAUAAUUGUCUUAUUAUUUGAAAUCUGAAAGCUUGAAGUUUCAAACUGUUUAUUGUGGGAUUUUGUAUUGUGUGAAUUAUUUUGCUUUAUCAAAAAAUACACAUUUGAAUAUUAUUUCUUGCAUUCUUGUCAACAUGGCAAACGGAAACAUUUUAUAACAAACUCU
This is a long non-coding RNA of Octopus bimaculoides (California two-spot octopus), 2582 nucleotides long. RefSeq lists it as uncharacterized. The record is from RefSeq and is a predicted model, not a curated record. Lineage: Eukaryota; Metazoa; Mollusca; Cephalopoda; Octopoda; Octopodidae.